UCCUGACUCAGCUCUGACUGUCACUAAUCACCUGAUUGCCUUCACCUGCGCUCUCCCCUUUAUAUGGCUCUGCUCUCCACCUGCCCUCUGCCAGAACGUUGUCAGUCCUCUGCUAUGCCUACUCUGCUCUGCUCAGCUCCGUUCAGCUCAACCUUCAAAUUGGCCUUUCAGCCCAGCUCUGCCUCCAAAUCAGCCAGGCCUGCCCUGCCCCGUCCAAACUGUCUGCUUUGCCUGGAUCCUGCUGCCCUGCGCUAUCUGCCCAGCCUGAGAUAUCCGCUCCGUGCUGCCUUCCCCCAAGUGAAGACUCAAGACCUGUUCCUGUUCCGCCAUCCUGACAAUAAACCUGUUCUUAUCUCUACA
This is a long non-coding RNA of Oryzias melastigma (Indian medaka), 360 nucleotides long. RefSeq lists it as uncharacterized. The record is from RefSeq and is a predicted model, not a curated record. The transcript is spliced from 2 exons. NCBI's taxonomy places the organism in Eukaryota, Metazoa, Chordata, Actinopteri, Beloniformes, Adrianichthyidae.